UGGGGAAUUUUGGACAAUGGGGGCAACCCUGAUCCAGCCAUUCCGCGUGAGUGAAGAAGGCCUUCGGGUUGUAAAGCUCUUUUGUCCGGAACGAAACGGUUAGCGUGAAUAUCGCUGACUACUGACGGUACCGGAAGAGUAAGCCACGGCUAACCCUGUGCCAGCAGCCGCGGUAAUACAGGGGGGGCAAGCGUUGUUCGGAAUUACUGGGCGUAAAGGGCGCGUAGGCGGCCUGUUAAGUCGAACGUGAAAUCCCCGGGCUCAACCCGGGAACUGCGUCCGAGACUGAUAGGCUCGAAUCCGGGAGAGGGAUGUGGAAUUCCAGGUGUAGCGGUGAAAUGCGUAGAUAUCUGGAGGAACACCGGUGGCGAAGGCGACAUCCUGGACCGGUAUUGACGCUGAGGCGCGAAAGCCAGGGGAGCAAA
RNAcentral lists this ribosomal RNA (425 nucleotides) under uncultured bacterium. RNAcentral's name for it is "bacterial SSU rRNA". It matches the Rfam family "Bacterial small subunit ribosomal RNA", at positions 355 to 772 of the family's 1533-position model. The record is from RNAcentral.